This 528-nucleotide ribosomal RNA is filed under the name uncultured bacterium. RNAcentral describes it as "bacterial SSU rRNA". It matches the Rfam family "Bacterial small subunit ribosomal RNA", at positions 976 to 1503 of the family's 1533-position model. The record is from RNAcentral.
UACUCUUGACAUCUAGCGAAGACUGCAGAGAUGCGGUUGUGCCUUCGGGAACGCUAAGACAGGUGCUGCAUGGCUGUCGUCAGCUCGUGUUGUGAAAUGUUGGGUUAAGUCCCGCAACGAGCGCAACCCUUAUCCUUAGUUGCCAGCACGUAAUGGUGGGAACUCUAGGGAGACUGCCGGUGAUAAACCGGAGGAAGGUGGGGACGACGUCAAGUCAUCAUGGCCCUUACGAGUAGGGCUACACACGUGCUACAAUGGUAUGUACAGAGGGAGGCAAGCUGGCGACAGUGAGCGGAUCUCUUAAAGCAUAUCGUAGUCCGGAUCGCAGUCUGCAACUCGACUGCGUGAAGUCGGAAUCGCUAGUAAUCGCAAAUCAGAAUGUUGCGGUGAAUACGUUCCCGGGCCUUGUACACACCGCCCGUCACACCAUGGGAGUGGGUUGCAAAAGAAGUAGGUAGCUUAACCUUCGGGAGGGCGCUUACCACUUUGUGAUUCAUGACUGGGGUGAAGUCGUAACAAGGUAGCCGU